RNAcentral lists this non-coding RNA (45 nucleotides) under Schistosoma curassoni. The record is from RNAcentral. Lineage: Eukaryota; Metazoa; Platyhelminthes; Trematoda; Strigeidida; Schistosomatidae.
AUCCGGUUGAGGAGUCCCGAAUAGAACGAAACGCGCAUCCUGUAU